Molecule: ribosomal RNA, 462 nt
Filed under: uncultured bacterium
Lineage: Bacteria
Description: bacterial SSU rRNA
Rfam family: Bacterial small subunit ribosomal RNA
Source: RNAcentral
UCCUACGGGAGGCAGCAGUGGGAAUAUUGCACAAUGGGCGCAAGCCUGAUGCAGCCAUGCCGCGUGUAUGAAGAAGGCCUUCGGUUGUAAAGUACUUUCAGCAGUGAGGAAGGUGGAUAUGUUAAUAGCAUAUUCAUUUGACGUUAGCUGCAGAAGAAGCACCGGCUAACUCCGUGCCAGCAGCCGCGGUAAUACGGAGGGUGCGAGCGUUAAUCGGAAUUACUGGGCGUAAAGCGCAUGCAGGUGGUUUGUUAAGUCAGAUGUGAAAGCCCGGGGCUCAACCUCGGAAUUGCAUUUGAAACUGGCAAACUAGAGUACUGUAGAGGGGGUAGGAAUUUCAGGUGUAGCGGUGAAAUGCGUAGAGAUCUGAAGGAAUACCGGUGGCGAAGGCGGCCCCCUGGACAGAUACUGACACUCAGAUGCGAAAGCGUGGGGAGCAAACAGGAUUAGAUACCCUGGUAG